GAUGAAGAACGUAGCGAAAUGCGAUAAGUAAUGUGAAUUGCAGAAUUCAGUGAAUCAUCGAAUCUUUGAACGCACAUUGCGCCCGCCAGUAUUCUGGCGGGCAUGCCUGUUCGAGCGUCAUUACAACCCUCAGGCCCCCGGGCCUGGCGCUGGGGAUCGGCGGAAGCCCCCUGUGGGCACACGCCGUCCCUCAAAUACAGUGGCGGUCCCGCCGCAGCUUCCAUUGCGUAGUAGCUAACACCUCGCAACGGGAGAGCGGCGCGGCCAUGCCGUAAAACACCCAACUUCUGAAUGUUGACCUCGAAUCAGGUAGGAAUACCCCGCUGAACUUAAGCAUAUCAAUAAGCGGAGGA
This 353-nucleotide unclassified non-coding RNA is filed under the name soil metagenome. RNAcentral's name for it is "partial contains 5.8S ribosomal RNA, internal transcribed spacer 2, and large subunit ribosomal RNA". The stretch from base 1 to 120 matches the Rfam family "5.8S ribosomal RNA", at positions 35 to 154 of the family's 154-position model. The record is from RNAcentral.